GGUCAAUGAUGAGCUGACUUGUAUUCUGAAUCUAAAGUUGAUUAUUAAUACUUUAGUUUUAGAAUUAUUGAGACAUA
Molecule: small nucleolar RNA, 77 nt
Organism: Callithrix jacchus (white-tufted-ear marmoset)
Lineage: Eukaryota; Metazoa; Chordata; Mammalia; Primates; Cebidae
Source: Ensembl